UGAUUUUCUCUACCUCCUCCCAUCAUGCAGCAGGGGGGCAGGGAAUGGGAGAGUCAGUCAGUUCACCAUUGUGUCUGCUGCUCCUUCUUCCCCAGGGACAGGAUCAAGAAUAACUGCCCCCUCAGGACUGCAAACUCCGCCAAGGCAUGAUCACUGCAGCCCAGGCUGCCUCCAAUCUUGGUGUCCCCAGCUGGCUCUCUUACAAUGGUGACCAUAAGAUCCUGUAUCACAUUCCAUCUGGCAGGGCUGCCUAUUACCUGGGUCAGAAAGUUAUCUUCCAUGUUUUCCAGAAGUCUUCUGGAUUGCCUACAGCUCAUUGUGCAACUUUCCCAGCAGACGUCAGGAUGGCUGAAGCCCCUGUGAAGACAAGAGCCUGUGAGCAUGAUGCCUCCUGUAGCUGCAGCAAGAAGGCUUCAUCAGUAGGAUCCCAUUGAUCAAGGGCCUGUACUAGACACUGGCCACAAAGUUUUCUUUGUUGCCUUGGUCUCAGAUUCUUACCCACAGGCUUUUGACCUUCUCAUGGCUGUUCUUCAGAAAUAACUCCUCACACUCAAUCCACCUCUUAAUGCAGAGGGCAACUCCUCCACCUCUCCUUCCUCCCCUGCCUCUUUUAAAUAGCCUGUAGCCUUUGAAAGUCACACUCCAGGCAUGGAAUUCAUUCCAUCAAAGUUUCAGUAAUGGCAACAAGGUCAUAGGUUUCUAGCAGCAUGGUGGUAUCUUCCAAUUCUUUCUGUUUCUGCCCAUGCUGCAUGAAUUGGUUUAAAGGCACCUAAGCUGGAGUCUUGGCUGUGUCACAUUCCUAGAGGUGAACCCCUUAACUCUUUUGGGAUAUUUCUCUGGUGCUUUCCUUUUGGCUUCUGUUAUCAGAUGAGGCCCUGGCUUGUCUCUGUAAGACUGCAAGUGUGUUAUCUAACUAAGUCUUGUCAAUCACUGAUCCAUAAACUUGGCUAAGAUUUUAAUAAUUUGUAAAGUCGAAACCCUUCCACUGCAUUCUUCUCUUUGGUCAUAAGACACAGACUGACUCAGUUUGAUCUAAAUAAAAUGAAGAAAGGUGCUGAGCUCCCAGCUUUGUGAGUGGCACAUGUUAUUGCCAAAAGGGGUCAUGGUUACUGAAUUCAUAUAUAAUAUCUAAAAAGUGUAUUGAGAGACACACUCUCCUUCAUGAAGAAAUGGUUUUUAUACAGAAAGCAAAACAAUCUAGGGCACUGCAGUCACAAUUAUGCAACUAUCACUGCUGACUGCUGGUAGCUGGCUGCUAAUCUCCCAGCUAAUCAAUGCAUUGGUUUAUCACUGGGUCACAAAGACAGGUGGAAUUAUUUCUCUUGUUACAUUCCUGUUUUGAUAAGAUGCAGCAUUCUUCUAAUAAGAACAUUUUUUUGUGAUCAUAUGAAAUAGAUUAAAUCCAAAUGUAAAGGAAAUAGAAAAUAGUUUCAAAAAUCAGAAAAAAAGAAAGAAGAUUUCUUUGUGCAAUAAUCAGAACUGUUAUGUUUAAUUCUGCUUACAUGGCUACCAAGUAAAGCAUUUUACAAAUCACAGGCACUGCACAUUAAUCAAGGGAAUAGUUCUUUUUAUUGAAAGCACUUGAAUUUAUUCUUUGCAAUAAUCAAGUAAAACAAGACCAGAUUUAAUAAUUGUUAUGAAGUUAAUUUUAGAAUUGGUAUCUAACAAGUGACCUUGAUGAUAAAAGUAUGUGGGUGGAUGUAGGAUGUGGGGUGAUAAUUAUUAGAGUGGUUAAGGCUUAUGCUCACCAGAAGGUGCCAUGGGAAAGGCUCAGCUGCAGGCUGGAUGGGCAGAAGUCAGCUGAGGAGUGAGAGGCAGUUAUGAGUGAGGAGAGAGUCAUUUGGAAGGGAGAUUGUGAUUGGCUGGAGGAACACAUAGACAGCGUAUGAACAGGAAGCUGAUUGGAUGGUAGGACAAGCGGACAGCGGCGUGGAAGCUGAGCCAGCCAAUGGGUGCCUUCUUUCUUUUAAGUUCUGUUAUGUCUCAGUUUGGUUUCACUUAUGUCAGGAUAAAAUUAAAGCUGAAGAAAGUGAGAAAAUAAGAUGAAAAACUCAUGGGUCAAGAUAAAGACAGCUUGCUAUAAGAAAACAAAAGCUUCCACAGAAACAAAGCAAAAAAAAAUUAUUUACUUCCCAUCAGAAGGAGAUAUUCAGACUUUUUCUGGUAAAUCUGUGUCAUAAUUGGGGUUUCUACACACACACACACACACACUCUCCCUUACUGGCAUAUUUAGCAAUAAGAAUGUGACCCCUUUUAACCACAUUCUGCUGCCAGAAGCUCCCUGAAAAACUGGCUAGUUUACUAUAUGAAACCUUUCUGAGAGCUUUCAGAUCACUCAGCAUUCCAAAUUCAAGAGUGGUUACAGACUACCUGAUCCCAAGAAGGGUCCUUUGUGAAGGUAUACUUGCUCUUACAAGAUAAGAAAUUAAGAAAGAAUGAAAUGGAUUUCACAUUGAACAAGUUACUGGAGAAUAACACGACUGUGCUCCAGAGCAAGACAUGUGAGAAAGAGGAAGUUAGUACAUGCGUAACACAUCUUUCACUCAGCUGUCAGACGUGUACAGAUUAUGAAUGAAAACUAAGAAAGCUGGAAUUACAGGCAAGAAAUACAGGCUCAACAGCUAGAUUUAUCAAAUAGAAGGAAACUUAACGGGGAUGACUUUGAAGGCAAGCCAGUAUGAAGUACCAAGUAGGGUUUUCACCAUUCCCUGUCUGAUUAAAAUCGCACCUUUAAUGAUUUCUAUCCGAUAUUGAUGUUCUAUGCUCACUGAUUUAUGCAUGAAGUCUGGAAACAGCACAACAAAUAAAUGCUUCCCAUGUAUUAUUUUUUCACUUCAGACUCAGUAUC
Long non-coding RNA from Passer domesticus (house sparrow), 2848 nucleotides. RefSeq lists it as uncharacterized. NCBI's taxonomy places the organism in Eukaryota, Metazoa, Chordata, Aves, Passeriformes, Passeridae. The transcript is spliced from 8 exons. The record is from RefSeq and is a predicted model, not a curated record.